GCUGCUCGAGAAGAGAGCCAGCAGCCUCCUACAGCACCACUACAGGCACCGAGAGGACAUAACAUCACAGAGCGGCUCCUCUGCCCUCCAAAACAACAACUUUCCUACCAUCUUGGAGAAACGUGGCAACUUUUAGUUGCUUUAUAAUAGUUCUAAAAAUUAAUGUGUAAUUGGGAAAGUCGGCGUAACUUUUUGUGGUGCUGCUACUGCCAGUGGAACAGCUGCGAUUGAUGCAGGAUAGUUUGGCAGCAUUGUAUCAUUACAUCCUCUCUCUCAAGGCAUUGUAAGUAAAACUGAAUGAGCAGGUAAGAAUAUAAAAGCAUUUAUUAUUUUUUUUAAAUUUUAUUUUAAUGUAUAUAUAUAAAUAUUGAUAUAUCUGUGUAGCAGGAAGGCUUAUAGAAAAGCCACGGGAGAUUUAAUGUGAGUGGAUCCUGUGAUAGAUACCUGAAAAAAUUCUGCUAAUCUGUCCUAAAUUCAUGUGAAAAAUAAAGCCCAGAGAGGAAAUUUGGAGGUAACCAUUAAGUUAAUGUUUUCAAAGCAUAUUGCAACUUCAAUCUGUUUGGGUUCUUCUUAAGUUGCUGUUUUGAUGUGGGGGCUUUGUCUCUGAUAUUUAUGGAUGUGAUUACUGCUGACUUCUUGCUUGCAAAGUUGGGAAAUGCUGUUAACUUACGCUCCAGUGCCCUGUAAGACGGGAUGGUCAUUGCAUUUUUCCUUCUUGCAGAUGCUUUUGUUAAAUUAUUAAACGUAGAUCAAACGCUGUCAAAACAACGUGAGGUUUUACUGUGUGUCCAUAGGUGAGGACACUGAUGAUUGCAUCAAGAAGACCUAUGAUAAUGUUUGCGAUAGGGUUAUGUCAGCCCCGUACAGGGAACUGCCGAGAUACCUAUUUAUUCCUCCUGGAGAAAGAGAAAAUAAUUGGGAAACUAAUUGGUUAUACAUGUUAAAAUGCAUUUACAUUUUUGUUCGUUGUAAAAAAAAUAUUCAGGUGGGCUAAUUGAGCUGCAAUCAGACUGCAGUCAUAUGAAUGAGGGCAUUGGGCUGUUCAGUGCUACUGCACCCUGCCUCUGCUCUGCCAAAUCUGAAAUAUAUCGAGUCUUACCUCUCCUACUGCAAUCCUUCAUUGAAAGAAAUAUUUCCCAAACACAGGCACACUCCUUCAUUCCCUUCUGAAAAUACACUUCGUCAGUUGCCUGGCGAGCACAGUUUGUGUGUUCAUGGUGGCUUUUUCACGUAGAUAAAUUAGUUUGUAUUAAAGUUUAAUUAAAAGUCAGUUGGUCUUUGCGUCAAACUGCGUAUUUUGUGUUUGGCUGGAUUUGUUUUCAAUGAUGGUUAGUCUAAUUGGCAUCCUUUAAUAAUGCAGCGUUGCAUUCCGUGGAGUUACUGCAAAGGUGUUUUUUUUUGUAUCAGAUUAUUAAUCCACUAAGUGCAUUAUUCAGCUCUGACAUUAGGAACAUAAUAAUAAUCAUCAAAUGCAUUGCUCCUGUUUCCCGUUUGGAAAAAGAAAUGUAUAAAAGCAAUGGCAUAAUCAGGUUACUUUGUAAUCUUACCAGUCAUUAUUGUGUCAUUUGAAGCAUGGAAUAUAAUAAUUAUUUUGCAGGAUAUUUAAAUAAAAAUACUUUUAUGUUCUCUAUCUAAAACUCACUGCAGGAAUGACAGCGAUUACAAAUGUUGAUCAUCACUGGGAUGAUUACAAAACAAAACACUUUGAAAUAUCACCAAUAAAUGCUCUCCUGUGGCAACAGACUCAGAUACGAAACAGCCGCAGAGCAAACUAACAUUUCCUUUUAGUCUAGAUAAGUAAUGGAGCAAAUUCUCAGACCAGUUUUUAGAUGCUUGCAGGCCUGGUUAAUAAUUCAGGUGUGUUUGAGGAAUUGCUCCAUACUGGCUUGUGUGAAACUCCAGAGUUGCUGAGAGUUUUGCUGUCAUGCAGUAUUUAAGUUUCCACACUAGGUGACUGCUUGUAUCAAUGCGUUGUACAGAAUUGCCACUUUUAACUGGAAGUCAAUAGGUUAGUGUAAUUCAAAUGUAAUUCAAGCUAGUUCUUCUCAUCGCACCACUGAAUAAUGGUUAUAGAGAGGGAGGCAUAAUACUAACAGCUGAUCUGUGCUCCUGAGAAUAGCCAUACAGCAAGCUGAGGGGUGGCUUAGUGCUUUUGGAAAUGGGAUGCAGAUGACAUGACAUGUUAGAGAAAAGGCUGUGAAAGAAAGCACUUGAGAACCCGAGCACAGAAACAAUACUAAACUCUUUCUUUGGCUUAUGUGCUUGGCUUCGCAGAUGCUGACUUUAAUCACAUUACUUGCAUGGCUAAUGGUACCAUGGUGGUUUAGUGGGUGAUGCUGAUGGACUAUAUGAUCCUAGAGGUCUUUUCCAGCCUUAACAAUUCUAUGAUUUAACAUGUACUGCAGCAGCACGAUGUGUUUUGGUGACAUCCUGAGAUUAGUUUGAAUUGCCUUAACUGCAAUACCAGAAGCUAAAGAAAAACAGUUUGAAUCUACUUUGCAGUAGGAAAAGUGCACAGAGAUAUUUCUGAGUGGCUUUUUUUAUUAGUAUUUUUUUUCCUCUUUAAUAUAUAUAAGCAAUUCUUUGUAAGGAAAUAAAGAGGAAAAAUUAGUUACAUCUUAGAAAUGUGGACUGCCAGCUGUAAUCAUUCAACAGAGAAAUGAAAUUCUUCAUACUGUGGACAUGGGAAUUUACUUCACGUAACUUUGUAUGCCUGAAAAGAUUCAAAAUAUUUUUAGUUACUUACAAUAAAUUGCCAAUAUUGUUUUGCUCAAAACAAAGUGUUACACUGUAACACUUCUAAGGAGCAAAUUCUGCUUGCUUUACUGGUGCAGAGUUGUUCAUGUUAUAUAUAUAAUAUAGUUAUGGACAAGACUGAUAGCUUGGGAGUCACAUCAUUUUGUUAAGAGCAGAUCUGUGCUGUGAAAUGAUUUUUGAGGAAAAAUUCAGUGGCCACAAAUCCUGCACAAGGUGUGUGAGCUCAGAGCAAGAAACCGCUGCAGGCAGAAUGCAGAUGGGAAUCCUGUCCCUUCCAUUUCCUUGUUACAGAAGUAGGUCUGUGUGACCAACACUCUGGACCAACCACUCCAGCCAGAAAACACAUUGUAUGCUUGAGUGCAGAAUGGUCAAAGAAAAUUAAUGUUCCCUAAAUCACUACUUGCAGGUUAAUGAGGCAUACUUUGCUGAUGCGUCUCACUGGCCUUAAUAGUGAGACAGAGGGCAGCAACACAGUGAAUAAGCUUUGUGAGUCUCAUACAAGAGGUGAAAUAGAUGCUUUGGGUUGUAUGCCAGUUAUUGGAGGAGACUGCUUCAGAAAGCAAACGGUGACUCUCCCAAGGUCACAUGGGCUCCAAGCACCUCUGGAUCAUAACUGAAGACUGUGAAUGACUGUGCAUGAUGAAGGGUCUUGACUUGUCAGCAAACAGCAUUAUGGCACUGCUAUGGUAUUAUUCCCUGACAUGCAUGUGUUCUGAAGAAACACUUCCAAUGUCUUUUAAUGCUUGGGAAAGCAAUCAGCAAGUUAUUUAAGAAGGAAGAGAAAUACCUGUGAAUGAGAGGGACAACUCCAUGCCUGUAGCUGCUUGUUAGAAACUUUUAUACAGAGCCCGAUUGAUGUAUGAAAUCUUUAGGCAUUUAAACACUGAAGGGAAUGACAAAAAAAAAAAAACAAACACACCAAAAUUCUGAUAAGAUUUGUUCUUCUAAGUAAGGUCUUGAGCAGCAUCUUGGUGCAGUGUUGGUUUAUUUAGUUGUGGUAAGUUCUAGGAUUAAGCUAACCAUUGGAAACCAGCAUAUAAUGGAACACAGCUCAUUCUUAUUUUCUUAUUUCUUUUAAACAAUUCUUUGACGCACAUGUUUUGUUUAUUGCAGCAGUUGUCUAUGGGAUGUUUCCAUUCCUGUUACCCUUACUAGGAUGUAUUAGCUAACCAGCAAAACAUCACCAAAAAUAAAUGACUGUCUUUGUUUUUCUGAGUCUUAAGGUCCAUAAUAAUAUUUACUGGAGCAAUGGGAAUUUUGCUGUGGAUUACAGUAGGAAUAAGGCUGUGGAAGUAUUAGUCAAUUGGGAGCAGGCAUAUGGUAGCUUAUUGCAUGGUAAUAUAAUUAACUGACAGUGAACUGACCUGAAAAUAGUAAUUAAGUCUUUACUAACCUGUUUUUCAUUAUCAAUGUGUAUUUUAAACUGCAUUAAAUAAACAUUAUCAUCUCCUAAGUCUCAGCAAAUACAAAAUAGUAAUACAAUCAGUUGUGGGAAAGUUGUCCAGAGUACAAGACAGGCAACUGUGGAGACUUCUUUAAAUAGAAGACAAAUGAUAUAAACUGCCCCAGCAGAGUGCUGAAAUACAGUCCUAUUUUACUAGGGAGGACACUAUUAAUUGAAAGCAUGCUAUUGCACUUCUCCUUAUCUACCUGCUUGUGCCUAUUGAUAUUUCAUUACCUGUAAUCAUGGCUGUUAAGAAGCUACACACUUUAUUACCAGACUUACAUUCAGUUACUCAUCUGCAUUCAGGUUACAGUGGGUAAUUCCAACUUGAAACCAAAUCAGUCUCCGAGUCCUGUACAAGAAGCUUCAAAGGUGUAUGGGACAUGCCAUGAUGGGUAGUGCAGGACUAAAAAGCACAGCACUGGGGCACUGAUCCCACAGUAAAGAACUUACUAUUUUAACAGGAGGUGGGAAAGGGGGACAGUUUGGCCCUCUUUAAUCUGACCGCUGGUGCUAACUUCGCCCAAACUUGCUCCAAAAUAUACAGUGCUCAGCAAGGUUUCACCUUAAGCCAACACAACCUUCUGCUGAAGACAAGGCUACAUAAAAACAAAGUUUAAUGUAAGGCAUAUUUAAGAGCUCGUUUACAUAGCACUGCAUUAAGAGAAGAGCGCUUAGUGACUGAACCUAUCUGUCUCUGUUCAACACAUUCUUUCUCAUGAUAUCUAUACAGGCAGGAGAGUACAGGAAAAAGCAAGAUGAAGGUUACUGUUCUGUAACAGGUCUUGCAACAAGUGAGAAAAUGUGUCAGCUGCCCAUUGGGUACAAUCAGGGCUGCAUUUAGGAACUGAUCUCCCUCAGCUCUCACCUCCUGCUACAUUCAAGCCUACAUUACCUCCCAUUUCUGUGUGUACCCCUACUUAUCUUUUUAUCCAUACCUCAAAAGAAAGCCCACACAUCUAUGGCCUGCCCAGCCAGCACGACAAACAAAAGUAGCAUGGACUACAUUAUGAACUCAGUUGAUAAUGCCCAUUUCUAUUUCUCUUUAAUACCUUAUUUCCAAUAGUCAAACCCAUAGUGCCUUCUUGCUAUUGCCAAGUGUGUCCAAAAAGUUCUCUACUUAGUGACUAGUUAAGUGGCAGGAGGAGAGGGCAGAAACAGAACAGUGACACCUCAUGUACCAAUUACCCUUUUUAAAAUGAGGGCUGGGUACUUCUUGAAUACAAGUAUCUCCUAUAUGCACAUACUAACUGAAGGAUGGAGGACUUUCAAAAGUAAUGUGCUCCCAGAGUUAAAUAACGCUAUGUUAUUUAAGG
Molecule: non-coding RNA, 5517 nt
Organism: Coturnix japonica (Japanese quail)
Lineage: Eukaryota; Metazoa; Chordata; Aves; Galliformes; Phasianidae
Source: RefSeq, a predicted model, not a curated record